CCUGGCUCAUACUCGGGGAUAGCCUUGCGAAAGUAAGAUUAAUACCCGGCGGUCUCGGACGGCCGCAUGACUGUCCGAGUGAAGAUUUAUCGGUAUGAGAUGGCGAUGCGUCCCAUUAGCUAGUUGGUGAGGUAAUGGCUCACCAAGGCAUCGAUGGGUAGGGGUUCUGAGAGGAAGGUCCCCCACAUUGGAACUGAGACACGGUCCAAACUCCUACGGGAGGCAGCAGUGAGGAAUAUUGGUCAAUGGACGAAAGUCUGAACCAGCCAAGUAGCGUGCAGGAUGACGGCCCUCUGGGUUGUAAACUGCUUUUAGUUGGGAAUAAAAAGAGGGACGUGUCCCUUAUUGUAUGUAGCCAUCAGAAAAAGGACCGGCUAAUUCCGUGCCAGCAGCCGCGGUAAUACGGAAGGUCCAGGCGUUAUCCGGAUUUAUUGGGUUUAAAGGGAGCGCAGGCGGCGGCGUAAGUCAGUUGUGAAAUCGUGCGGCUUAACCGUGCAAUUGCAGUUGAUACUGC
Molecule: ribosomal RNA, 514 nt
Filed under: uncultured Bacteroidota bacterium
Lineage: Bacteria; Pseudomonadati; Bacteroidota
Description: bacterial SSU rRNA
Rfam family: Bacterial small subunit ribosomal RNA
Source: RNAcentral